Labeo rohita (rohu) is the source of this 480-nucleotide long non-coding RNA. RefSeq lists it as uncharacterized. The transcript has 4 exons. The record is from RefSeq and is a predicted model, not a curated record. NCBI's taxonomy places the organism in Eukaryota, Metazoa, Chordata, Actinopteri, Cypriniformes, Cyprinidae.
CUGAAGUUAGUGAAAAAGGAAUCAACUCGUUAUCGCUGUCUGAAACAGGUCCUUGGUCGUGCUUUGGGUGUGUGCAAGAACAGCACGUUUUGGUGCUAAAAAUGACAGUGUGAAGCCUAAGCGAGCCAGGACAAAAGGAGGAUGAGUUUCUGCUGUGCUCAUUGGGUUGAAUUUCGGUCUUGUGCGUUUGACCUCACCUUGAUGAACACUUGGACCUGGAGGCAGCAAAAAGAAUAAAAAAUGUUGGUUAAAGAAAGGGUAGAUUGGACAUGAGAAGAUCUAUAACAUGCAUUUAGAAAAUAGAAAAAGUGAGUUUUCAUUUAAUUUCAAGUACAUGAUUGUCUUUUUAAUGUGAGUGUUUAAUAUUUGUUGCUAGAAAAGUCCUAAAUCAUACGUUUAAUCAUGUUGCAAAUUUUUGUAACAGAAACAAUAGGUAAUAACAUUGGUCCACCUUUAUGUCUACAUGGGGUGCAGCAUAUG